RNAcentral lists this ribosomal RNA (253 nucleotides) under uncultured bacterium. RNAcentral's name for it is "partial 16S ribosomal RNA". It matches the Rfam family "Bacterial small subunit ribosomal RNA", at positions 524 to 776 of the family's 1533-position model. The record is from RNAcentral.
UACAGAGGGUGCAAGCGUUAAUCGGAAUUACUGGGCGUAAAGCGUGUGUAGGUGGUUGGAUAAGUUAGAUGUGAAAUCCCCGGGCUCAACCUGGGAACUGCGUUUAAGACUGUUUAACUAGAGUACUGUAGAGGAUAGUGGAAUUUCCAGUGUAGCGGUGAAAUGCGUAGAUAUUGGAAGGAACACCAGUGGCGAAGGCGACUAUCUGGAUAGAUACUGACACUGAGACACGAAAGCGUGGGGAGCAAACAGG